This 245-nucleotide ribosomal RNA is filed under the name uncultured Anaerostipes sp. RNAcentral describes it as "partial 16S ribosomal RNA". It matches the Rfam family "Bacterial small subunit ribosomal RNA", at positions 524 to 768 of the family's 1533-position model. The record is from RNAcentral. Lineage: Bacteria; Bacillati; Bacillota; Clostridia; Lachnospirales; Lachnospiraceae.
UACGUAUGGAGCAAGCGUUAUCCGGAUUUACUGGGUGUAAAGGGUGCGUAGGUGGUAUGGCAAGUCAGAAGUGAAAACUAUGGGCUCAACCGAUAGACUGCUUUUGAAACUGUCAAACUGGAGUGCAGGAGAGGCAAGCGGAAUUCCUAGUGUAGCGGUGAAAUGCGUAGAUAUUAGGAGGAACACCAGUGGCGAAGGCGGCUUGCUGGACUGAUACUGACACUGAGGCACGAAAGCGUGGGGAG